Molecule: long non-coding RNA, 333 nt
Organism: Melanotaenia boesemani (Boeseman's rainbowfish)
Lineage: Eukaryota; Metazoa; Chordata; Actinopteri; Atheriniformes; Melanotaeniidae
Exons: 3
Source: RefSeq, a predicted model, not a curated record
GAGGUUGUGGGUCAGUGUGGUUCUAUGUCAGUGAGGUUCUAGAUCAGUGUGGUUCUAGGUCAGUAAGGUUGUGGGUCAGUGAGGUUCUAUGUCAGUGAGGUUCUAGAUCAGUGUGGUUCUAGGUCAGUAAGGUUGUGGGUCAGUGAGGUUCUAGGCCAGUGUGGUUCUAGAUCAGUGUGGUUCUAGGUCAGUGAGGUUCUAGGUCAGUGUGGUUCUAGGUCAGUGAGGUUCUAGAUCAGUGUGGUUCUAGGUCAGUAAGGUUGUGGGUCAGUGAGGUUCUAGGUCAGUGUGGUUCUAGAUCAGUGUGGUUCUAGGUCAGUGAGGUUCUAGAUC